GAUAAAGCAGAGGAUAGCCGGUGAAGGUCUCGAUCAGGCCGCUGUCGUAGCCUUCCGGAGCUGCGAAAACGCAAAGGGCGAAGAUAUUCAUGAGGAACUCGCCCUGGUGUCUGACGCUAUUGAGUACAGGGAUUUUGUGGAUGCCGCUCGUGACCUCGCUCGCAUACGUGCCUGGCAGGCCUCUCGCAUACUCGACGGGGAAAA
Molecule: unclassified non-coding RNA, 204 nt
Filed under: plant metagenome
Description: partial contains 5.8S ribosomal RNA, internal transcribed spacer 2, and large subunit ribosomal RNA
Source: RNAcentral